GUAGUGCGGGGGCAGCGGACGGGGUAGUGUGUAGGGGGCUGGGGUUGUUCGGAAGUAGUGGGUGGAAAGGGUUCGUAGGCGGUGCGGCAAGUCGGGAGUGAAAUCUCUGGGCUUAACCCAGAGGCUGCUUCCGAAACUGCUGUGCUUGAGUGUGGGAGAGGCGCGUGGAAUUGCAGGUGUAGCGGUGAAAUGCGUAGAUAUCUGCAGGAACACCCGUGGCGAAAGCGGCGCGCUGGACCACUACUGACGCUGAGUGAACGAAAGCUAGGGGAGCAAACAGGAUUAGAUACCCUGGUAGUC
Molecule: ribosomal RNA, 300 nt
Filed under: uncultured Pyrobaculum sp.
Lineage: Archaea; Thermoproteati; Thermoproteota; Thermoprotei; Thermoproteales; Thermoproteaceae
Description: bacterial SSU rRNA
Rfam family: Bacterial small subunit ribosomal RNA (bases 51-300)
Source: RNAcentral